GAUGAACGCUAGCUACAGGCUUAACACAUGCAAGUCGAGGGGAAACGACAUUGGAAGCUUGCUUCCUUUGGGCGUCGACCGGCGCACGGGUGAGUAACGCGUAUCCAACCUUCCCAUGUCCCACGGGAUAGCCCGUCGAAAGGCGGAUUAAUACCGUAUGAGGUCACAUGCGGGCAUCUAAGUGUGACGAAAGGUUUAGCGGACAUGGAUGGGGAUGCGUCCGAUUAGCUUGUUGGCGGGGUAACGGCCCACCAAGGCGACGAUCGGUAGGGGUUCUGAGAGGAAGGUCCCCCACAUUGGAACUGAGACACGGUCCAAACUCCUACGGGAGGCAGCAGUGAGGAAUAUUGGUCAAUGGACGGGAGUCUGAACCAGCCAAAGUAGCGUGCAGGACGACGGCCCUAUGGGUUGUAAACUGCUUUUAUGCGGGGAUAAAAGUGUGGACGUGUCCCAUAUUGCAGGUACUGCAUGAAUAAGGACCGGCUAAUUCCGUGCCAGCAGCCG
RNAcentral lists this ribosomal RNA (504 nucleotides) under uncultured bacterium. RNAcentral describes it as "bacterial SSU rRNA". It matches the Rfam family "Bacterial small subunit ribosomal RNA", at positions 28 to 517 of the family's 1533-position model. The record is from RNAcentral.